AGAGGACCGGGAUGGACGUACCUCUGGUGUACCAGUUGUCCUGCCAAGGGCAUGGCUGGGUAGCUAUGUACGGAAUGGAUAAGCGCUGAAAGCAUCUAAGCGCGAAGCCAACUUCAAGAUAAGAUUUCCCACCGCAAGGGUAAGACUCCAGAAAGACUAUCUGGUUGAUAGGUCGAAGGUGUAAGUGCAGCAAUGUAUUUAGCUUAUCGAUACUAAUAGGUCGAGGACUUGACCAAU
RNAcentral lists this ribosomal RNA (237 nucleotides) under Clostridioides difficile. Its description in RNAcentral is "partial 23S ribosomal RNA". It matches the Rfam family "Bacterial large subunit ribosomal RNA", at positions 2686 to 2925 of the family's 2925-position model. Lineage: Bacteria; Bacillati; Bacillota; Clostridia; Peptostreptococcales; Peptostreptococcaceae. The record is from RNAcentral.